This 460-nucleotide ribosomal RNA is filed under the name uncultured bacterium. Its description in RNAcentral is "partial 16S ribosomal RNA". It matches the Rfam family "Bacterial small subunit ribosomal RNA", at positions 338 to 795 of the family's 1533-position model. The record is from RNAcentral.
CCUACGGGUGGCAGCAGUGAGGAAUAUUGGUCAAUGGACGAGAGUCUGAACCAGCCAAGUCGCGUGAGGGAUGACUGCCCUAUGUAUUGUAAACUUCUUUUAUCUGGGAAUAAAACAGGGUAUGCAUACCCUCUUGUGUGUACCAUAUGAAUAAGCAUCGGCUAACUCCGUGCCAGCAGCCGCGGUAAUACGGAGGAUCCGAGCGUUAUCCGGAUUUAUUGGGUUUAAAGGGUGCGGAGGUGGAUUGUUAAGUCAGUUGUUAAAGGUUGCGGCUCAACCGUAAAAUUGCAGUUGAAACUGGCAGUCGUGAGUAGAGUAGAGGUGUGCGGAAUGCGUGGUGUAGCGGUGAAAUGCUUAGAUAUCACGAAGAACUCCGAUUGCGAAGGCAGCUCACCGGACUGCAACUGACACUGAUGCUCGAAAGUGUGGGUAUCAAACAGGAUUAGAUACCCGGGUAGUC